AUGGACGGAUCCUAUGCAGCAGUACGGUCCAUCCACAGAGCUACAACCUCGCGUCGCUACAUAGGCGCAAUCACACCGAGCCGCCGCUCAACUACAUGGUUUGGAUCCUGGGCGCUGGUGUUUCAACGCCGGCGGUCCCAGAGAGAGAGAGAGGGAGUUCUCGAGGAAGAGGAGAGGGAGACGCCAAGUCACCCAAUUUUUCUGCUAACCCUAGCUGAACCUAGCGCCUGGUUCAGUGGUACAGAAGAUGGCGAAAGGGGAAGACACAAAGUGGAGUUUGGAGGUUGUUUGGCUCGAUUUUGCUACACUUCAAGGCCCCUUUGCAAAAUGUACCAGCACCCACAUCUUUGA
This 351-nucleotide ribosomal RNA is filed under the name Triticum aestivum (bread wheat). Its description in RNAcentral is "partial small subunit ribosomal RNA". The record is from RNAcentral. Lineage: Eukaryota; Viridiplantae; Streptophyta; Magnoliopsida; Poales; Poaceae.